CGAAUGCUGACAUAAGUAACGAUAAAGCGGGUGAAAAGCCCGCUCGCCGGAAGACCAAGGGUUCCUGUCCAACGUUAAUCGGGGCAGGGUGAGUCGACCCCUAAGGCGAGGCCGAAAGGCGUAGUCGAUGGGAAACAGGUUAAUAUUCCUGUACUUGGUGUUACUGCGAAGGGGGGACGGAGAAGGCUAUGUUGGCCGGGCGACGGUUGUCCCGGUUUAAGCGUGUAGGCUGGUUUUCCAGGCAAAUCCGGAAAAUCAAGGCUGAGGCGUGAUGACGAGGCACUACGGUGCUGAAGCAACAAAUGCCCUGCUUCCAGGAAAAGCCUCUAAGCAUCAGGUAACAUCAAAUCGUACCCCAAACCGACACAGGUGGUCAGGUAGAGAAUACCAAGGCGCUUGAGAGAACUCGGGUGAAGGAACUAGGCAAAAUGGUGCCGUAACUUCGGGAGAAGGCACGCUGAUAUGUAGGUGAAGCGACUUGCUCGUGGAGCUGAAAUCAGUCGAAGAUACCAGCUGGCUGCAACUGUUUAUUAAAAACACAGCACUGUGCAAACACGAAAGUGGACGUAUACGGUGUGACGCCUGCCCGGUGCCGGAAGGUUAAUUGAUGGGGUCAGCGCA
RNAcentral lists this ribosomal RNA (621 nucleotides) under Escherichia coli. Its description in RNAcentral is "partial 23S ribosomal RNA". It matches the Rfam family "Bacterial large subunit ribosomal RNA", at positions 1291 to 1897 of the family's 2925-position model. Lineage: Bacteria; Pseudomonadati; Pseudomonadota; Gammaproteobacteria; Enterobacterales; Enterobacteriaceae. The record is from RNAcentral.